AUGGCUAAAGGUGACCCCAAGAAGCCAAGGGUCAAGAUGUUUGCUUAUGCCUUCUUCAUGCAGACACGCAGGGAAGAACACAAGAAGAAAAACCCAGAGGUUGCAGUCAAUUUUGCGGAGUUUUCCAAGAAGUGCUCUGAGAGGUGAAAGACCGUGUCUAGCAAAGAGAAAUCAAAAGUUUGAUGAAAUGGCAAAGGCAAAUAAAGUAAGCUAUGAUUGGCAAGAAGAAGGACCCAAAUGCCUCAAAGGACCUCCAUCUGGAUUUUUCUUAUUCUGCUCUGAAUUCCUACCCAAGAUCAAAUCCACAAACCCUGGCAUCUCCAUUGGAGAUGUGGUAAAAAAAAAAAAAAUCUGGGUGAGAUAUGGAAGAACUUCAGUUACAGUGAAAAGCAGCCUACGUCACCAAGGCAGCAAAGCUGAAGGAGAAGGAUGAGAAGGAUGUCGCUGACUGUAAGUCUAAAGGGAAGUUUGAGGGGGCCAAGGUGCUAAAAUUGCCUGGAAAAAGGUGGAAGAAGAGGAGGAGGAGGAGGAAGAGGAAGAAGAGGAAGAAGAAGAGGAGGAAGAUGAAUAAAAACUCUGUCUUCAUGUGAAUACCUUAGAGUAGGAGAGCGCUGUGAUUGACACAUCUCUUAUUUGAGUCGUGUCUAUUGCCCUUGUUAGGUUUAAUUACAAAAUUUGAUCAGGAUCAUAUUGUAGUUUCUCAAAGUGUCAGUGAUUUACAUGAAGUGGCUGUGGUGUCCAGAGUGCCCUGAAGCUGUAUCAAAGUUGUACAUAGCUCCAAACAUUUUUAAAAUGAAAAGGCACUCUCGGGUCCUCCUCACUCAGUGCACUUUGCUGUUGGUGUGACAAGGCAUUUGAAGACGUUUCUGGAUUUUGUUCUCAGCUCGUAAGGUAGUGUUAACUAUAUGGCUAUCGGCCAGAAAUCCUGAGCUGUCAACUGUACAUAUCUAUAGCUUGUAAAGAGAACACAACAACCCAGCCAGAUUCUUGAGGCUCCUUGUUUGGCGUGGAGGCUGUGAGGGGAAGAUGCCUUUUGGAGGGGGCAUAGCCCAGGGCGUGCACUGUGAGGCUGGACCUGUUGAUACUGCGGUGAGCAUCUUUUGGCUCCAGGUUGUCUUGUUGUCAGCAUUUUGCU
Mus caroli (Ryukyu mouse) is the source of this 1135-nucleotide non-coding RNA. NCBI's taxonomy places the organism in Eukaryota, Metazoa, Chordata, Mammalia, Rodentia, Muridae. The record is from RefSeq and is a predicted model, not a curated record.